Non-coding RNA from Ictidomys tridecemlineatus (thirteen-lined ground squirrel), 69 nucleotides. The record is from Rfam. Lineage: Eukaryota; Metazoa; Chordata; Mammalia; Rodentia; Sciuridae.
GGAGUUGUAGCUUAGUGGUAGAGUGCUUGCCUUGCAUGCAUGACACACUGGGUUUAAUCCUCAGCACCA